GAUGAAGAACGUAGUGAAAUGCGAUAAGUAAUGUGAAUUGCAGAAUUCAGUGAAUCAUCGAAUCUUUGAACGCACCUUGCGCUCCUUGGUAUUCCUUGGAGCAUGCCUGUUUGAGUAUCAUGAAAUCUUCAAAGUAAAUCUUUUGUUAAUUCAAUUGGUUUCUGCUUUGGUAUUGGAGGUUUUGCAGCUUCACACCUGCUCCUCUUUGUGCAUUAGCUGGAUCUCAGUGUUAUGCUUGGUUCCACUCAGCGUGAUAAGUAUCUAUCGCUGAGGACACUGUAACAGGUGGCCAAGGUAAAUGCAGAUGAACCGCUUCUAAUAGUCCAUUGACUUGGACAAUAUUUUUAUGAUCUGAUCUCAAAUCAGGUAGGACUACCCGCUGAACUUAAGCAUAUCAAUAAGCGGAGGA
This 409-nucleotide unclassified non-coding RNA is filed under the name soil metagenome. Its description in RNAcentral is "partial contains 5.8S ribosomal RNA, internal transcribed spacer 2, and large subunit ribosomal RNA". The stretch from base 1 to 120 matches the Rfam family "5.8S ribosomal RNA", at positions 35 to 154 of the family's 154-position model. The record is from RNAcentral.